This 481-nucleotide ribosomal RNA is filed under the name Alloprevotella sp. oral taxon 308. RNAcentral describes it as "bacterial SSU rRNA". It matches the Rfam family "Bacterial small subunit ribosomal RNA", at positions 28 to 498 of the family's 1533-position model. Lineage: Bacteria; Pseudomonadati; Bacteroidota; Bacteroidia; Bacteroidales; Prevotellaceae. The record is from RNAcentral.
GAUGAACGCUAGCUACAGGCUUAACACAUGCAAGUCGAGGGGCAGCGGGUUGAAAGCUUGCUUUCAAUGCCGGCGACCGGCGCACGGGUGCGUAACGCGUAUCAAACCUGCCUCAUACUCGGGGAUAGCCUUGCGAAAGUAAGAUUAAUACCCGAUGUUGUUGCUUUCUCGCAUGGGAGAGUAACCAAAGAUUUAUCGGUAUGAGAUGGUGAUGCGUCCGAUUAGGUAGUAGGCGGGGUAACGGCCCACCUAGCCUUCGAUCGGUAGGGGUUCUGAGAGGAAGGUCCCCCACACUGGAACUGAGACACGGUCCAGACUCCUACGGGAGGCAGCAGUGAGGAAUAUUGGUCAAUGGGCGAGAGCCUGAACCAGCCAAGUAGCGUGCAGGAUGACGGCCCUCCGGGUUGUAAACUGCUUUUAGUUGGGAAUAAAAAAAGGGACUUGUCCCUUCUUGUAUGUACCUUCAGAAAAAGGACCGGCU